This 440-nucleotide ribosomal RNA is filed under the name uncultured bacterium. Its description in RNAcentral is "partial 16S ribosomal RNA". It matches the Rfam family "Bacterial small subunit ribosomal RNA", at positions 338 to 795 of the family's 1533-position model. The record is from RNAcentral.
CCUACGGGGGACAGCAGUGGGGAAUAUUGCACAAUGGGGGAAACCCUGAUGCAGCGCCGCCGCGUGAGUGAAGAAGUAAUUCGUUAUGUAAAGCUCUAUCAGCCGGGACGAAAAUGACGGUACCUGAGUAAGAAGCCCCGGCUAACUACGUGCCAGCAGCCGCGGUAAUAAGUAGGGGGCAAGCGUUAUCCGGAUUUACUGGGUGUAAAGGGAGCGUAGACGGCAGUGCAAGUCUGGAGUGAAAGGCGGGGGCUCAACCCCAGGACUGCUCUGGAAACUGUACGGCUGGAGUGCAGGAGAGGUAAGUGGAAUUACUAGUGUAGCGGUGAAAUGCUUAGAUAUCAUGAAGAACUCCGAUCGCGAAGGCAAGUGUCCGGGGUGCAACUGACGCUGAGGCUCGAAAGUGCGGGUAUCAAACAGGAUUAGAUACCCGGGUAGUC